UACGGAGGAUCCGAGCGUUAUCCGGAUUUAUUGGGUUUAAAGGGAGCGUAGAUGGAUGUUUAAGUCAGUUGUGAAAGUUUGCGGCUCAACCGUAAAAUUGCAGUUGAUACUGGAUAUCUUGAGUGCAGUUGAGGCAGUCGGAAUUCGUGGUGUAGCGGUGAAAUGCUUAGAUAUCACGAAGAACUCCGAUUGCGAAGGCAGCCUGCUAAGCUGCAACUGACAUUGAGGCUCGAAAGUGUGGGUAUCAAACAGG
This 253-nucleotide ribosomal RNA is filed under the name uncultured Bacteroides sp. RNAcentral's name for it is "partial 16S ribosomal RNA". It matches the Rfam family "Bacterial small subunit ribosomal RNA", at positions 524 to 776 of the family's 1533-position model. The record is from RNAcentral. Lineage: Bacteria; Pseudomonadati; Bacteroidota; Bacteroidia; Bacteroidales; Bacteroidaceae.